GACGAACGCUGGCGGCGUGCUUAACACAUGCAAGUCGAACGGUGAACUCCGCUUGCGGGGGGAUCAGUGGCGCACGGGUGAGUAACACGUGGGCAACCUGCCCUCAGCUCUGGGAUAACUCCAAGAAAUUGGGGCUAAUACCGGAUAUGACCGCUGACCGCAUGGUCUGGUGGUGGAAAGAUUUAUCGGCUGGGGAUGGGCCCGCGGCCUAUCAGCUUGUUGGUGGGGUAGUGGCCUACCAAGGCGACGACGGGUAGCCGGCCUGAGAGGGUGACCGGCCACACUGGGACUGAGACACGGCCCAGACUCCUACGGGAGGCAGCAGUGGGGAAUAUUGCGCAAUGGGCGAAAGCCUGACGCAGCGACGCCGCGUGGGGGAUGACGGCCUUCGGGUUGUAAACCUCUUUCAGCAGGGACGAAGCGAAAGUGACGGUACCUGCAGAAGAAGCACCGGCCAACUACGUG
Molecule: ribosomal RNA, 465 nt
Filed under: uncultured bacterium
Lineage: Bacteria
Description: partial 16S ribosomal RNA
Rfam family: Bacterial small subunit ribosomal RNA
Source: RNAcentral